UCCCUGGAGGACUAGUGGUUAGGCCACAGUGCUCUCACCGCCCCAGCCAGGGUUCGAUUCCCGGCCAGGGAA
This 72-nucleotide transfer RNA is filed under the name Pangasianodon gigas (Mekong giant catfish). RNAcentral's name for it is "tRNA-Glu". It matches the Rfam family "tRNA". Rfam says of the family: Transfer RNA (tRNA) molecules are approximately 80 nucleotides in length. Their secondary structure includes four short double-helical elements and three loops (D, anti-codon, and T loops). The record is from RNAcentral. Lineage: Eukaryota; Metazoa; Chordata; Actinopteri; Siluriformes; Pangasiidae.